RNAcentral lists this non-coding RNA (30 nucleotides) under Homo sapiens (human). The record is from RNAcentral. Lineage: Eukaryota; Metazoa; Chordata; Mammalia; Primates; Hominidae.
UGAUACUCGUGGCCCAGGAAGAGUUCUGGU